GAGUAAUGCCUAGGAAUCUGCCUAGUAGUGGGGGAUAACGUCCGGAAACGGGCGCUAAUACCGCAUACGUCCUACGGGAGAAAGUGGGGGAUCUUCGGACCUCACGCUAUUAGAUGAGCCUAGGUCGGAUUAGCUAGUUGGUGAGGUAAUGGCUCACCAAGGCGACGAUCCGUAACUGGUCUGAGAGGAUGAUCAGUCACACUGGAACUGAGACACGGUCCAGACUCCUACGGGAGGCAGCAGUGGGGAAUAUUGGACAAUGGGCGAAAGCCUGAUCCAGCCAUGCCGCGUGUGUGAAGAAGGUCUUCGGAUUGUAAAGCACUUUAAGUUGGGAGGAAGGGCAGUUACCUAAUACGUGAUUGUUUUGACGUUACCGACAGAAUAAGCACCGGCUAACUCUGUGCCAGCAGCCGCGGUAAUACAGAGGGUGCAAGCGUUAAUCGGAAUUACUGGGCGUAAAGCGCGCGUAGGUGGUUUGUUAAGUUGGAUGUGAAAGCCCCGGGCUCAACCUGGGAACUGCAUCCAAAACUGGCAAGCUAGAGUAUGGUAGAGGGUGGUGGAAUUUCCUGUGUAGCGGUGAAAUGCGUAGAUAUAGGAAGGAACACCAGUGGCGAAAGGCGACCACCUGGACUUGAUACUGACACUGAGUGCGAAAGCGUGGGGAGCAAACAGGAUUAGAUACCCUGGUAGUCCACGCCGU
Molecule: ribosomal RNA, 700 nt
Filed under: Pseudomonas sp.
Lineage: Bacteria; Pseudomonadati; Pseudomonadota; Gammaproteobacteria; Pseudomonadales; Pseudomonadaceae
Description: bacterial SSU rRNA
Rfam family: Bacterial small subunit ribosomal RNA
Source: RNAcentral